AUAGGGGAGCCGCAGGGAAACCGAGUCUUAACUGGGCGUUAAGUUGCAGGGUAUAGACCCGAAACCCGGUGAUCUAGCCAUGGGCAGGUUGAAGGUUGGGUAACACUAACUGGAGGACCGAACCGACUAAUGUUGAAAAAUUAGCGGAUGACUUGUGGCUGGGGGUGAAAGGCCAAUCAAACCGGGAGAUAGCUGGUUCUCCCCGAAAGCUAUUUAGGUAGCGCCUCGUGAACUCAUCUUCGGGGGUAGAGCACUGUUUCGGCUAGGGGGUCAUCCCGACUUACCAACCCGAUGCAAACUACGAAUACCGAAGAAUGUUAUCACGGGAGACACACGGCGGGUGCUAACGUCCGUCGUGAAGAGGGAAACAACCCAGACCGCCAGCUAAGGUCCCAAAGUCAUGGUUAAGUGGGAAACGAUGUGGGAAGGCCCAGACAGCCAGGAUGUUGGCUUAGAAGCAGCCAUCAUUUAAAGAAAGCGUAAUAGCUCACUGGUCGAGUCGGCCUGCGCGGAAGAUGUAACGGGGCUAAACCAUGCACCGAAGCUGCGGCAGCGACACUAUGUGUUGUUGGGUAGGGGAGCGUUCUGUAAGCCGUUGAAGGUGGCCUGUGAGGGUUGCUGGAGGUAUCAGAAGUGCGAAUGCUGACAUAAGUAACGAUAAUGCGGGUGAAAAACCCGCACGCCGGAAGACCAAGGGUUCCUGUCCAACGUUAAUCGGGGCAGGGUGAGUCGACCCCUAAGGCGAGGCCGAAAGGCGUAGUCGAUGGGAAACAGGUUAAUAUUCCUGUACUUGGUGUUACUGCGAAGGGGGGACGGAGAAGGCUAUGUUGGCCGGGCGACGGUUGUCCCGGUUUAAGCAUGUAGGCGGAUGUUCCAGGUAAAUCCGGAACGUUAUUAACGCUGAGGUGUGAUGACGAGGCACUACGGUGCUGAAGUGACAAAUGCCCUGCUUCCAGGAAAAGCCUCUAAGCAUCAGGUAACAUCAAAUCGUACCCCAAACCGACACAGGUGGUCAGGUAGAGAAUACCAAGGCGCUUGAGAGAACUCGGGUGAAGGAACUAGGCAAAAUGGUGCCGUAACUUCGGGAGAAGGCACGCUGAUGGUAAGUGAAGUGACUUGCUCAUGGAGCUGAAAUCAGUCGAAGAUACCAGCUGGCUGCAACUGUUUAUUAAAAACACAGCACUGUGCAAACACGAAAGUGGACGUAUACGGUGUGACGCCUGCCCGGUGCCGGAAGGUUAAUUGAUGGGGUUAUCCUCACGGAGAAGCUCUUGAUCGAAGCCCCGGUAAACGGCGGCCGUAACUAUAACGGUCCUAAGGUAGCGAAAUUCCUUGUCGGGUAAGUUCCGACCUGCACGAAUGGCGUAAUGAUGGCCAGGCUGUCUCCACCCGAGACUCAGUGAAAUUGAACUCGCUGUGAAGAUGCAGUGUACCCGCGGCAAGACGGAAAGACCCCGUGAACCUUUACUAUAGCUUGACACUGAACACUGGUCCUUGAUGUGUAGGAUAGGUGGGAGGCUUUGAAGUGUGGACGCCAGUCUGCAUGGAGCCGUCCUUGAAAUACCACCCUUUAAUGGCUGGUGUUCUAACGUGGGCCCGUGAUCCGGGUUGCGGACAGUGUCUGGUGGGUAGUUUGACUGGGGCGGUCUCCUCCUAAAGAGUAACGGAGGAGCACGAAGGUCAGCUAAUCCUGGUCGGACAUCAGGAGGUUAGUGCAAUGGCAUAAGCUGGCUUGACUGCGAGCGUGACGGCGCGAGCAGGUGCGAAAGCAGGUCAUAGUGAUCCGGUGGUUCUGAAUGGAAGGGCCAUCGCUCAACGGAUAAAAGGUACUCCGGGGAUAACAGGCUGAUACCGCCCAAGAGUUCAUAUCGACGGCGGUGUUUGGCACCUCGAUGUCGGCUCAUCACAUCCUGGGGCUGAAGUAGGUCCCAAGGGUAUGGCUGUUCGCCAUUUAAAGUGGUACGCGAGCUGGGUUUAGAACGUCGUGAGACAGUUCGGUCCCUAUCUGCCGUGGGCGCUGGAGAAUUGAGGGGGGCUGCUCCUAGUACGAGAGGACCGGAGUGGACGCAUCACUGGUGUUCGGGUUGUCAUGCCAAUGGCAUUGCCCGGUAGCUAAAUGCGGAAGAGAUAAGUGCUGAAAGCAUCUAAGCACGAAACUUGCCCCGAGAUGAGUUCUCCCUGACUCCUUGAGAGUCCUGAAGGAACGUUGAAGACGACGACGUUGAUAGGCCGGGUGUGUAAGCGCAGCGAUGCGUUGAGCUAACCGGUACUAAUGAACCGUGAGGCUUAACCUU
RNAcentral lists this ribosomal RNA (2294 nucleotides) under Klebsiella oxytoca. RNAcentral's name for it is "partial 23S ribosomal RNA". It matches the Rfam family "Bacterial large subunit ribosomal RNA", at positions 657 to 2925 of the family's 2925-position model. The record is from RNAcentral. Lineage: Bacteria; Pseudomonadati; Pseudomonadota; Gammaproteobacteria; Enterobacterales; Enterobacteriaceae.